RNAcentral lists this ribosomal RNA (109 nucleotides) under Allium victorialis. RNAcentral's name for it is "4.5S ribosomal RNA". Lineage: Eukaryota; Viridiplantae; Streptophyta; Magnoliopsida; Asparagales; Amaryllidaceae. The record is from RNAcentral. RNAcentral also lists the same sequence under 3 other names.
UAAGGUCACGGCGAGACGAGCCGUUUAUCAUUACGAUUACGAUAGGUGUCAAGUGGAAGUGCAGUGAUGUAUGCAGCUGAGGCAUCCUAACAGACCGAGAGAUUUGAAC